This 30-nucleotide non-coding RNA is filed under the name Rattus norvegicus (Norway rat). Lineage: Eukaryota; Metazoa; Chordata; Mammalia; Rodentia; Muridae. The record is from RNAcentral.
UCCUUCAACGUGUUCAUGAACUGGAGAAGA